UCUGUCCGUAGCUCUCUUCACUGAGUCUAUUGAUAUUGUGGAAUACUUGCUUCUUAUUCUUUACUCAUACUAAUACUAAUUUCUUGCUUACUGAAGUGAAUCCUACACUCUAAUAUUUACACCUCAAAUAAUAAUGUUCAAAAUACUAAAGAAAACUUCUACUAAGUGCCUCGCUCCUACUUUUUUACUUGGGGUCUGAAUCAAUAAUUCUUAAUCUAAUUUACCUAAACCUCACUUUU
RNAcentral lists this long non-coding RNA (239 nucleotides) under Physcomitrium patens. RNAcentral's name for it is "long non-coding RNA (PPAT_LNC005456)". Lineage: Eukaryota; Viridiplantae; Streptophyta; Bryopsida; Funariales; Funariaceae. The record is from RNAcentral.